GCUGGGUAUGGUGGCGUAUGCCUGUAAUCCCAGAAUCUCAGGAGGCUGUGGCAGGAGGAUUGUGAGUUCAAAGCCAGCAUCAGCAAAAGUGAGGCCCUAAACAAUUGAGUGAGACCCUGUCUCUA
This 125-nucleotide small RNA is filed under the name Marmota monax (woodchuck). The record is from RNAcentral. Lineage: Eukaryota; Metazoa; Chordata; Mammalia; Rodentia; Sciuridae.